This 654-nucleotide ribosomal RNA is filed under the name Triticum aestivum (bread wheat). RNAcentral describes it as "partial small subunit ribosomal RNA". The record is from RNAcentral. Lineage: Eukaryota; Viridiplantae; Streptophyta; Magnoliopsida; Poales; Poaceae.
AUGACGGACAGGGAUCAAGACAGCGAGCUUGCUGCCCUGGAGAAGGCGUUGCUCGAUGAAAGCGCGGAUCCAGCCGACCUACCUUUCACGCUUCUCAAGUCCAUCACAGGGAAUUUUUCUGAAGCUCAUGAAAUCGGCAGGGGCGGCUUCGGGGUGGUCUACAAGGGAGUGCUUCCAAGUGGCUGCACAAUUGCCGUGAAGAAGCUCCAUGAGACCUUUGAGAUCCUGGACAAGAAUUUCAAGAGCGAGGUCGCCUGUCUUGUCGGGGUCAAGCACAAGAACACGGUGCGAUUCCUCGGGUACUGCUCUGAGACGCAGCAGCUGAUGGUCCCGCUCCACGGAAACCUUGUCUGGGCAAGCGUGCGGCACAGGCUGCUCUGCUUCGAGUACCUGCCGAAAGGGUGCCUUGCUGACUAUCUCUCCGUAGAUGCAUCCUGUCCGCUUCAGUGGAUCACGAGUUAUCAAAUAAUCAAGGGGAUCUGUGAGGGCGUAUAUUAUCUUCACCAGCAGCAAAUUAUUCACAUGGACCUCAAACCUCAGAAUGUACUAUUGGAUGAUAAUAUGAUGCCCAAGAUUGCGGAUUUUGGUCUAUCACGGCGUUUAAGUGAAAGCCAGAGUUGGGAUAUUACUAAAAACAAUUUUGGGACGAUGUAA